This 451-nucleotide ribosomal RNA is filed under the name uncultured bacterium. RNAcentral describes it as "bacterial SSU rRNA". It matches the Rfam family "Bacterial small subunit ribosomal RNA", at positions 354 to 796 of the family's 1533-position model. The record is from RNAcentral.
GUCGAGGAUCAUUUGCAAUGGGCGCAAGCCUGACAGUGCGACGCUGCGUGGACGAUGAAGGCCUUCGGGUUGUAAAGUCCUGUCAUUCGGGAACAAGAGGCUGUGUGUUAACACCGCACGGCAUUGAUAGUACCGGAAGAGGAAGCCACGGCUAACUCUGUGCCAGCAGCCGCGGUAAUACAGAGGUGGCGAGCGUUGUUCGGAUUUACUGGGCGUAAAGGGCGCGUAGGUGGCCCCGCAUGUCGGACGUGAAAUCCCACCGCCUAACGGUGGAACGGCAUCCGAAACUGUGGGGAUAGAGUGCAGGAGAGGAGAGCGGAAUUCUUGGUGUAGCGGUGAAAUGCGUUGAUAUCAAGAGGAACACCGGCUGCGAAGGCGGCUCUCUGGAAUGCUACUGACACUGAGGCACGAAAGCUGGGGGAGCAAACAGGAUUAGAAACCCGUGUAGUCC